CCUUUACAGACUGACUGAUUCACCUCUUGUGUCAAGGACGUAAGCUCAUAAAGUAUUAUCGUGUUAAGUAAUGAUAAACGGCAAGGUGCAAAAGGGGAAGAUAGUGAAUAGUACUCAUCUAAUAGAUUGGGCUUAUUUACUGUGAUUCAAAACAGGAAAUGCUUAUCUUGAGGCACAUGGUUCACGUAUGUGGCUGCCACAGUGCUGAAUGAAUUCGCUGAUCAAUCAAUAUUAACUUGACAACAAGACAGAUUACAGAUUUUAAUUAAGAAUUAUACAUUUAUAAUUUAUCAAAGGAAAUUGCCCACAUUUUUGCCAUUACCAGCAACUCAAUUGUAAAGAUGUGUCACUUUUCUCUCUGUAAAUUGAACAAAAAAAAAAAGCCAUCUGAGGGGUGAAUUUAGGGACCAAACAAUACAUCAUAUCACUAAAAAAAUAAUAAGACCUUAAACAAGCAAGUAUUUGAACAAUUUAUUUAGCUUUUCUUUAUGCGUUUUAAGUUAUAUUGCCGAAUAUUCAGGCCAACCUUGCACAUGUGAGGAUUUUCUGCUGUGUCUUGACUACACAUUAAAUAGUGGUCAACUGGUAACUUAACACAUCACCUCAAGCUCUGGAAGGUUGUUUUGGGAGGCUGUCACUAUUUUCUGACAUUAUAUUAUAAUAUCACUUCAGCCCCAGCUAAGUUAAUUAGGUCUUAUGGUGGCUAACAUUAAUUUAUGACCCAGCUGCUGGAAAUAACAAAGUGAAACAGAGACAUUACGUUCCAAGUUAAUUUUUUAAUAUCCUAAGCCCAAAUACUGGGGGCUAUGUAUCUUAAAAAGAGAUAUACCUCCUCCCCCACAUGAAGGUCAGUAAGGUCCACAUGUGUCUAUACAAUCCUGCCUUUCAAGGACACCUCAGUAAGAUGAAUGCUGUCUCCGGGGAAGAACCCGUGCUUCUUUUAUUUGUGGACUAUUUGCUCACUAUUGUAUUUUUCAUGGAAUAAUUUCAGUGACGUGUCAAACUUUUAUUUUGCCGUACUAGCCAGAAAUGCCUGUAGUCAACAUGGUAUAAAGGUUUGUAAAAGCAGCAUGCAUUAAACUGUCAUAUAGCAACUAUGUCCACUGAAGUGCUGUGCUUACAGUAAGUACAAUUAAGAGAUGCCCAACAGCACAUAAAGUAGAUAAAAUCUCUAUAUCUGCUUUAAAAAACAAACAAAUGUUAUUGCAUUGGUAUUGUAAUUAAAUAUUCUAUAAUUGGGCUGGUAUAAUAAGAGAUGCCAUUCUUCAUAAUUUACCUUGAUACUUGUUUUGAUUUUUUUUUAUACCUCUGUACUCUUACUGAAGUACGUAAAUAAGUAUUUCUACAGAUUGUAUUCGCUUUUUGCUUACAGGAUCUAAAAACAUCUUCCACCAAUAGCUGUAAUAACGGAAGUUUAUGUAAAUCGUCAUUUUUGUCAAUACUUUUUAGAGCUUUGGAGGGGUAAAAUUGCAAAAUAUGUAAAAACAAAAAAACAAAGCGAAAUUGCAGUGUUUAAGCAAAAGUCUGAAAAAUAAAUGUAAUUUUGUAUAUAGAGGUGUCACGGUUUAAGGAGAAUGACAACAGUGGUGAUAGUUGUGAUAUUUUAAAAAUUAAUUAUUGCUAUCGUGUUUAUAAGACAGAUGUGAACAUGUCACGUAGAUAAUAUUUCAACUCUUAAAUUAUUUCUGUUAAUAAAGCAUAUUUGUUAUUUUUGUAUGCUUUUGUACAGUUCUGGUUCCAGACUCUCUCUCCACAUCCCCAGACUUGUAUUUUGAGUGUAAUAAUUUGCCAGAAAGGAGACAAAAUACACAAUGAGACGAAAAAUGAAAUGAACUGAGCAUUGUUUUUUUCCUCUCAAAAUUUCUAUAGAUAUUGCGAUAAUGUUGUUACAGUUCAUGAUAUUUGUGUACUGAAAAUCUGAUCCCAUAAUCACCCUAAUUGUGCAGCAGAAUUUGUUAUUUAAGGGUCUGGAACCCCAGUCUGGUAACCACUGUGUGCACUGAAUAACUCUGCAUUUCAAAAUGUAAAGGACUCUUCAAAGGACUUUUAAAAGAAUCAGAACAACCACAGGACAAAUGAUUUACUAAAUGACAAAAAAGUGCUGAAUUAUUCACAUAUCUUUAUUAGUUCUGCUGAAUUUUAACAAAGGGGUGUUUUUUUUUAAUCAAGCCAGAACAGUACUAAUAACAUAAAUGCAAACAAUAAAUUUGAAACAUGUAUAAAAUCAGUAGCAUUUUUGUUCUCUAAACAAUGCAAUACUGUAACUACAUUUAUCACCUACAUCAAAAGGAACAUCAUUAUUUUUUUGGACAGGGUUGCUAUGAUUGCACCAUCAUGGUAGGCCGAUAAUAGGCUAUCUACACAGUUUUUUAAAAAAUAAAAAAUAAAUAAAACACAUAAAAGGAAAGCUCAAAUGGCACAUAUUUUCUCCGUCAGUUCACCAUAAUAUAAUAACAGUAAUAAAGAUGAUAAUACUAUGUAAUACCUUAGAGAUAAGUUAAUAUUGUUGAGCAACAUCUUUGUAUGCUGGCAUAAACAACACAUAUAAAAGCCAUGAUAUUCACAUCUGAGUCUACUGUACAUCAUAACGUGUGUGUAGGACAUAGUGCAGUUAGCCUGAAUGCUCCAUUUCUUCUUCUUUAGAUUUUUUUGUUUACUUCCUUCUCAACCUGCUUUGUUUAUACAGAAGAAAGUAGAAUUUUCAAGGAUAUGCAGACUCCCUCAUUUGAUACUUUCAGUCUCACUGCCCUUGUGUCAAGCUUAGAGCCCCUCCCCCGAAAACCCUUUACCCUUAAUAUAUCUUCACUUUCUCUAUUGCCGCUAGUCCCUCUAUCCUCAAUCUCAUAAGCUGAAGCUUUUUCGUAUGUAUACACACAUGCACACACCCUCUCUCUCUCUCUCUCAUACACACACACACACACACACACUCACUCACACACUCAAACGCACA
Acanthopagrus latus (yellowfin seabream) is the source of this 2950-nucleotide long non-coding RNA. RefSeq lists it as uncharacterized. The transcript has 2 exons. The record is from RefSeq and is a predicted model, not a curated record. Lineage: Eukaryota; Metazoa; Chordata; Actinopteri; Spariformes; Sparidae.